This 387-nucleotide ribosomal RNA is filed under the name Triticum aestivum (bread wheat). RNAcentral describes it as "partial small subunit ribosomal RNA". Lineage: Eukaryota; Viridiplantae; Streptophyta; Magnoliopsida; Poales; Poaceae. The record is from RNAcentral.
AUGUUGAUCCGGAGCAAACCCCAGAGCAUCAUGGUGAAAAAUCCCGAAGUAGCUGAAGAUGAUACUGCUGAGAAGAAUGAAGAUGCCAAUGCUAAUCCGCCAGUGGUUGAACCGGAUAUCCAAAUUGAUACUUCACAUCCUCCUGCUCCUCCGAGUCCCACAGCAGAACAACGAGGCUCAACUGCUGAUCCGCCAAGCCCGGGUAUGAAAGCACCGAGCCCUGUUAAGAAUGCUACUUUGGCCAGUCCAGCCCAAGAUGAUGAUGUUGUAGUUACGGGCACCGUGUAUAACGCCCCUGGUAAUCCGGUGGCUCUAACAAAACAUACUGCCAAGGAAGACUUCACUGCUAUUAACAAAGGGAAGGAAAAGACCGAUCUAUCAGCUUAG